UGAAUGCACCUGGUAGUUGCAGGAGCUCUGCCCUUGACUUGAGGAGAUUUAGACUCAAACUAGAUGGAGGAGAUCAUUAAAUGUAAUAAAUAAUAAUAAAGAAAUGUUCCGUAGUGACUGCAUCAUGUUUAUGUAUGACCUCGAUUGUCCUUGCGGUCCAUUUAUUUGCAAUUUGCAAGUUGCCUGGCUAAAGUCUUAGGCCUCUAUAAUAGUUAAUAUGAAAGUUCUUGACUUCUAGUCAUGCCUAUAGCAGCAACUCUUGUGACUCGUGCAAGCAACAACGAUGUAUCAUAAGUUCAUAAUCAUAUACUUGGGGCCUUAUUACAGGCUGAGAUGCGUUCGUGGAAUCUCUGUUUGGGUUUGCCGUCAGUGAGAAAUAUUUCGUCUGUCUCUUGCUUUGUAUUUUUCUAUCGGUAACUGAGGCCACCAUGUCAGAAUCUGUGCCAUUACUGCCAGCUACUUUUUUAAGAGUAGCUAUUUGUCUUUAGUUCCAUACUGAAGAGAUCUUGUAGGGGAAAUAAACGUUCUUUUUUAUUUCUCAAACUUAGAAAUCACAUGUUAUGCGAUGCCAGUUCUGUUGCAGAACCCUGUCAGGGUUUUUAUUUGAUUUAAAAAUAACACACUCGUUCGCAUCUUUUAUUUUUGGGGUCAAAUACAAGGAUUGUAGAAGGACUGACUUGUAACGAGCUUAUUAAUUUUUAGGAUUAACUUGUACAGUUAUUAAUUUUUGAAGAUUAAAACUAACUAGGCCUAUUAAGAUGUAUGUUUAUUCUUUCUAUUAGUUGCAAGAUUUGUGUUCAUACCAUCACCCUGUACUUAAUCAGGCUUUUUUUUGUGCUAAGCAUAUUUUGGUUACACCUUGUUGGUUAAACAGGAGCACAAGGGAAAGCACUCCUUGUAGUUUAAUUAGGGACUCGAAUGCCGUUAGCACCCCUGGUUCAACCACAAGGCAAAGGGCACCCAGCAUCACUAACCAGAUCAUUUGCGAACACAUACAGAGAAAUAUUCCUACAGCUUACGAGAUGGAUGAGUUCUUCGCAUUUGCAGAGAAGCAGCAGCAAAUUAUAUUUAUGGGCAAAUAUAACUUCGACAUUGUCAAUGAUGUACCUUUGCCAGGUCGAUAUGAAUGGGUGCAGGGACUUCAGUAGGCGGAGGUUGCUUAGUUGAGGUCUAGGGUACUCUGCUACUAUGUUGAUUUCAAGCUGAGCUAUUAACAUUUGUCGAUUUUACAACUAACAUACAAAACCAAUUAGAUUGCUAGAAGCACUUGCUCAACUAGAGGAGGGAUCGCAUCUGUUGAGAGGAGAAUUGUCUUAAAUUUCCAGUUUAGCCUUUCAAGUUUUUUCAGCUUUGCUUUGUAAUCUGCUGUGGUCUUUUCUCCUUUUUUCCCUCCCUUUACCUCCUUAUUGUCCAUAUGUAGGUAUGGUGAACCGUGAUUAAUAAUAAUGUUAGAGUAGCUAUUCUUCCACCUGUUAAA
Long non-coding RNA from Prosopis cineraria, 1477 nucleotides. RefSeq lists it as uncharacterized. NCBI's taxonomy places the organism in Eukaryota, Viridiplantae, Streptophyta, Magnoliopsida, Fabales, Fabaceae. The transcript has 2 exons. The record is from RefSeq and is a predicted model, not a curated record.